GACGGAGGGUGCAAGCGUUAAUCGGAAUGACUGGGCGUAAAGCGCACGCAGGCGGUUUGUUAAGUCAGAUGUGAAAUCCCCGGGCUCAACCUGGGAAAUGCAUUUGAAACUGGCAAGCUAGAGUCUCGUAGAGGGGGGUAGAAUUCCAGGUGUAGCGGUGAAAUGCGUAGAGAUGUGGAGGAAUACCGAAGGCGAAGGCAGCCCCUUGGGAAUGUACUGACGCUCAUGUGCGAAAGCGUGGGGAGCAAACGGG
This 253-nucleotide ribosomal RNA is filed under the name uncultured bacterium. Its description in RNAcentral is "partial 16S ribosomal RNA". It matches the Rfam family "Bacterial small subunit ribosomal RNA", at positions 524 to 776 of the family's 1533-position model. The record is from RNAcentral.